AGGCGGGACGACCCCCUGGGAGGUGGACUUUGAAAAAGACAGACACAGACAGACACAGACAGACACAGAGAGGAGGCCAGGCCGGGGCCACGGGGUUGAGCGCAUGUUACAAUGUGCGAGGACCCCGGUUCGAGCCCCUGGUCCCCACCUGCAGGGGGAAAGCCUCCGGUGAAGCAGAGCUGCAGGUGUGUCUGUGUCUCCCCCACCCCUCCCAAUUUCUCUCUGCCUAGCUAAUAACAAACAAAAUAUUUUUAAAAAAAACAAAAAACGUUAAGAGCAGCAGGUGUCUAUCUUCCCCUUCCCUCUUAAUUUUUAUCCAAUAUAUAUUUUUUAAAGUAAGAAAAUGAAAAAAUAAUUUAAAAAAAAAAGAGAGAACCAGAAAGAGCUCCCAGCUCUGCCCAGUGGCGGGCGCCGCCCCCUCUCUGGCUGCCCGGCCCGCUGCGCCCCUCGCCCCGCUGCAGCCACGGUCACGGUCACGGGGGCAGGUGGCAGGUGCGCGGCGCUGGAAGGAAAGCCCGGUUCAAAGAGAAUCCCCGCCUCAACCUUCCACAGAUCGACCUUCCACGACCUCCCACACACACACACACACACACCACCACCACCACUGCCACCACCACGGGUGCGACUGUCCAGCCCGCCUGGUCACUUGAUUCCUCCCUUCCACCCUGCAGAAACCUGCCUGCUAUUUUUCUUCCGCGUGUCCUGGGGCGUGUGACUACAGUCUCCUCUAGGCCUGCUGACAGAGCGUUUACACCUGUCUUGAUAAGACGAGAAACUGUAUCCUGUGCCAACAGCUGUACGUAAUUAACCAUCAACCUCCAAUAAAACGUAAGGAGAAGUCAGGAGAAGGCUGAAGGGGAGUUGAGUCAGAGGAAGAUCCCAAGUUCACAGAAGGUGUGUGUGUUGACACACGUCAUGAGGACAUAGGAGAGUGACAGUCUUGUAAACCAUCACUUCCCCAGUAAAGUGAAUUUAUUUGUUUGUUUGCCUUUAACCAGAGCGCUGACU
Molecule: long non-coding RNA, 1008 nt
Organism: Erinaceus europaeus (western European hedgehog)
Lineage: Eukaryota; Metazoa; Chordata; Mammalia; Eulipotyphla; Erinaceidae
Exons: 3
Source: RefSeq, a predicted model, not a curated record